AGAGUCCUGAAGUGUACGUUGUAAACCCUAAUAUUUUGACCGAACAUUAUUCCUUCGGGAGUUCGGAGUUUUCCAGAAGCGUAAAUGCCUCUAAACAGUGGACUUACAAAACUGGAAAUAGAACACCCACCUGCUGUGUGCGGGAUCAAAAUGAAGGAUCAAAAGCAACGGCACAAUUGGGACUCUU
RNAcentral lists this non-coding RNA (187 nucleotides) under Bacillota bacterium. RNAcentral's name for it is "6S RNA". It matches the Rfam family "6S / SsrS RNA". Rfam says of the family: E. coli 6S RNA was the first non coding RNA to be sequenced, but its function was unknown until recently. It consists of 184 nucleotides that fold into an extended hairpin structure with a large single-stranded internal bulge. Lineage: Bacteria; Bacillati; Bacillota. The record is from RNAcentral.